RNAcentral lists this transfer RNA (70 nucleotides) under Amblypharyngodon mola (mola carplet). RNAcentral describes it as "tRNA-Arg". It matches the Rfam family "tRNA". Rfam says of the family: Transfer RNA (tRNA) molecules are approximately 80 nucleotides in length. Their secondary structure includes four short double-helical elements and three loops (D, anti-codon, and T loops). The record is from RNAcentral. Lineage: Eukaryota; Metazoa; Chordata; Actinopteri; Cypriniformes; Danionidae.
AGAAGGUUAGUCCAAGACAAGACCUCUGAUUUCGGCUCAGAUAACCAUGGUUUAAAUCCAUGACCUUCUU